UCUUGGCUGUGAUUAUUUUUCAAGAGGUGCUGUAAUGUUCAACUUGCAAUGCUGUUUCAUACUGCAAUUUGAUUUACAAAUUGCAGAUAAUUUAUAACAAGUUGUUUCAUAAAUCAUUUUAAAGCACUAUUAGGGUAGAAAUACAUUCUAGACACGUAGAAAUCUGAAAUGUUCAUCUUAUGGUUUCAACGAUGCAAAUUGAUUUUCAAAACACUUGCAUUGCACAAAAUGAAUAGCUAUUUGAUCUAUAAAUUAAGAGUCUAAGGAUAAGUUUAUCAACAUUGUAGGAGUAAGGUUUACAACGCAAACUAAUUUACAAAUAAGUUUACAAUGUCUUUUCUCGAAUGAAGAUAUUAUCAAUUAUUAUAAGAACACAUUUUUGUUGGAUAAAAUGCCCUUCAAUGUAAUGAUUCAAAGUCUCCCACCCUUGCUGAAUUGGUGCACGACUCUAAGUUUUUACAUUAUACUUAAAUGGUCCACGGAGUGGAAGUUUAUCGACAUGUGGGGGGUUUAGAGGAGGCCAAAGAAAAAGACUUAGUGAAGGUUACUGGAGAUGGCUAGGUGAAGGGAACCUUCCUGUCUUUGGCCUUUGGGAGCAAUAAGAUAAAACAUUUUCAAUUACUCACUUCGACCUUGUGUCUCCUUGUCAGCUUAUGUCAUAUUUGUCGGGACCAUCUCCAUUGGAUUUCUGUCAAAACUGACAACAAAUAAGAAAAAUCCUGCUCUGAAGUUUGAUUUCUAAGUUGCUGAUUUCUAUAGUUUUAUUUCCACAAAUAGAUGGAGCAUGAUUUACACCCCUCUUUAAGUUUCACUCCACCUUCCAUUUUUAUAGACGUGUACUGUCGAUCGAGAAUUGGGAAGGAUGCAGUGGAUCUGGUGAUGCUUCCACUCAACACAAAGAAUUGAGUCUGGUUAUUAAACGGUCCUCUACUAUGGCACUCUUUUUUGCUGCUGUGCCUUUCUCAUGCGUUCUCAAUUGAGAUGAUAUAACUUGUCCUGAAGAUUAAGAAGUCUUUCGCGGAUUUGGUGAUCCAUGAGCAGAAAGAGUUAAGUCUAGA
Molecule: long non-coding RNA, 1058 nt
Organism: Zingiber officinale
Lineage: Eukaryota; Viridiplantae; Streptophyta; Magnoliopsida; Zingiberales; Zingiberaceae
Exons: 3
Source: RefSeq, a predicted model, not a curated record